GCCCUACGGGGGGCAGCAGUGAGGAAUAUUGGUCAAUGGGAGAGAUCCUGAACCAGCCAAGCCGCGUGAGGGAAGACGGCCCUAUGGGUUGUAAACCCCUUUUGUCGGAGAACAAAACCCGGGACGUGUACCGGACUGCGUGUAUCCGAAGAAAAAGCAUCGGCUAACUACGUGCCAGCAGCCGCGGUAAUACGGGGGAUGCGAGCGUUAUCCGGAUGUAUUGGGUUUAGAGGGUGCGUAGGCGGGACGGUAAGUCAGCGGUAAAAAUGAGGAGCUCAACUACGUCGAGCCG
Molecule: ribosomal RNA, 292 nt
Filed under: uncultured bacterium
Lineage: Bacteria
Description: partial 16S ribosomal RNA
Rfam family: Bacterial small subunit ribosomal RNA
Source: RNAcentral